GACGAACGCUGGCGGCGUGCCUAGUACAUGCAAGUUGAGCGCUGAAGGUUGGUACUUGUACCGACUGGAUGAGCAGCGAACGGGUGAGUAACGCGUGGGGAAUCUGCCUUUGAGCGGGGGACAACAUUUGGAAACGAAUGCUAAUACCGCAUAAAAACUUUAAACACAAGUUUUAAGUUUGAAAGAUGCAAUUGCAUCACUCAAAGAUGAUCCCGCGUUGUAUUAGCUAGUUGGUGAGGUAAAGGCUCACCAAGGCGAUGAUACAUAGCCGACCUGAGAGGGUGAUCGGCCAAAUUGGGACUGAGACACGGCCCAAACUCCUACGGGAGGCAGCAGUAGGGAAUCUUCGGAAAUGGACGAAAGUCUGACCGAGCAACGCCGCGUGAGUGAAGAAGGUUUUCGGAUCGUAAAACUCUGUUGGUAGAGAAGAACGUUGGUGAGAGUGGAAAGCUCAUCAAGUGACGGUAACUACCCAGAAAGGGACGGCUAACUACGUG
RNAcentral lists this ribosomal RNA (497 nucleotides) under uncultured bacterium. Its description in RNAcentral is "partial 16S ribosomal RNA". It matches the Rfam family "Bacterial small subunit ribosomal RNA", at positions 28 to 507 of the family's 1533-position model. The record is from RNAcentral.